Molecule: long non-coding RNA, 601 nt
Filed under: Marmota monax (woodchuck)
Lineage: Eukaryota; Metazoa; Chordata; Mammalia; Rodentia; Sciuridae
Source: RNAcentral
UGUAUUCUGUUCGUACCAGUGCUUUUGCUUGCGCUGGGCUGGAAAUCAUCCCUCCCCUUGUUUGCGUUUUAGCGCCACGAAAACCGUGAAAGAAGCUACGGCCUUUGGGAACGAUGCCUUCUUCUUUCUUUGACUUUCUUUUAACUGGGCUUUGUAGCCUGAGCCAUGGUGUUGGAAAUGGGAGGAAAGGUGAGAAGGAGUCUUCCUCAGUACUGCCCUCAGAAGUCCUCAAACUCAUAGUACUUCGUUCUCCUUGUAACACCAUUGUGUAAUCAAUAUCAAGAAAGCAAGAAGUACGCACUUGGGAAUUACUUGCCUAAUUUGUGAACCUGAGAUUCUCGUCUGUAAUAUAAUAAAAUUAGAGAUUUUAUGUGUUUAUGAUAAUUUGGGAUAAACGAAGGUGUGGACAUUUGGAAACAAUCUGGUCCCAAGGAGAAAGAAACCUGAACAACAUUCAAUACAAGCCUGUUUAUUUCUGAUAUGCUUGUUUAGGGCUUUAGCUCAAAUUCGAGAGAGGUCUUUGAUGACCCAACCUGUAACUGGUGUCGUCAUUCUGUACCUCGUUGCCAAGUGUACUUUUCUUCAAAACGCUAUUUGAAAU